Molecule: ribosomal RNA, 468 nt
Filed under: uncultured bacterium
Lineage: Bacteria
Description: partial 16S ribosomal RNA
Rfam family: Bacterial small subunit ribosomal RNA
Source: RNAcentral
GACGAACGCUGGCGGCGUGCUUAACACAUGCAAGUCGAACGGAAAGGCCCUGCUUUUGUGGGUUGCUCGAGUGGCGAACGGGUGAGUAACACGUGAGUAACCUGCCCUUGACUUUGGGAUAACUUCAGGAAACUGGGGCUAAUACCGGAUAUGAGCUCCUGCUGCAUGGUGGUGGUUGGAAAGUUUCGGCGGUUGGGGAUGGACUCGCGGCUUAUCAGCUUGUUGGUGGGGUAGUGGCUUACCAAGGCUUUGACGGGUAGCCGGCCUGAGAGGGUGACCGGCCACAUUGGGACUGAGAUACGGACCAGACUCCUAUGGGAGGCAGCAGUGGGGAAUAUUGCACAAUGGGCGGAAGCCUGAUGCAGCAACGCCGCGUGCGGGAUGACGGCCUUCGGGUUGUAAACCGCUUUCGCCUGUGACGAAGCGUGAGUGACGGUAAUGGGUAAAGAAGCACCGGCUAACUACGUG